AAUUCUGUAAAUUCGUUCCCUGCUGUGUGAAGGAGCACUUCCUUUUAUUGAUCCAGAAUUUACCUCCUGCAAGUUUCAAGUUUCAAGAUUCCUUCCCUCCCUUUCCUUUAUCUUUCCCUGGAACAAGUACCUGGGAAUAGUGAAGACAAUAGAUCGAACUUCCAAAAAGAACCUUCUUAAAAAUGAAGGCAACCUGGACAGAAAAGAAGCAGACCACACACACUGUUGGAACUGUCUGGUGGCCCAAGCUUAAGCC
This 256-nucleotide long non-coding RNA is filed under the name Cercocebus atys (sooty mangabey). Its description in RNAcentral is "lncRNA (ENSCATG00000045898.1)". Lineage: Eukaryota; Metazoa; Chordata; Mammalia; Primates; Cercopithecidae. The record is from RNAcentral.